UUUGUCCUACGGGGGGCAGCAGUGGGGAAUAUUGCACAAUGGGGGGAACCCUGAUGCAGCGACGCCGCGUGAGUGAAGAAGUAUUUCGGUAUGUAAAGCUCUAUCAGCAGGGAAGAAAAUGACGGUACCUGAGUAAGAAGCACCGGCUAAAUACGUGCCAGCAGCCGCGGUAAUACGUAUGGUGCAAGCGUUAUCCGGAUUUACUGGGUGUAAAGGGAGCGCAGGCGGCACGGCAAGCCUGAUGUGAAAGCCCGCGGCCCAACCGCGGGACUGCAUUGGGAACUACCGGGCUGGAGUGCCGGAGG
This 305-nucleotide ribosomal RNA is filed under the name uncultured bacterium. RNAcentral's name for it is "bacterial SSU rRNA". It matches the Rfam family "Bacterial small subunit ribosomal RNA", at positions 333 to 655 of the family's 1533-position model. The record is from RNAcentral.